Molecule: long non-coding RNA, 98 nt
Organism: Stegastes partitus (bicolor damselfish)
Lineage: Eukaryota; Metazoa; Chordata; Actinopteri; Pomacentridae
Exons: 3
Source: RefSeq, a predicted model, not a curated record
CAUUGAGGUCGUUCUCUGUUUUCUCUGCUUGCUGUGUGGCUUUUUCAGCCUCCGCCCACUCCUUGGCAAAGCGCUUCUUUCUACUUUCGAGGUGUUUA